CCUGCGGAAGGAUCAUUAAUGAAUUCACUAUGGAGUUGUUGCUGGCCUCUAGGGGCAUGUGCACGCUUCACUAGUCUUUCAACCACCUGUGAACUUUUGAUAGAUCUGUGAAGUCGUCUCUCAAGUCGUCAGACUUGGUUGCUGGGAUUUAAACGUCUCGGUGUGACUACGCAGUCUAUUUACUUACACACCCCAAAUGUAUGUCUACGAAUGUCAUUUAAUGGGCCUUGUGCCUUUAAACCAUAAUACAACUUUCAACAACGGAUCUCUUGGCUCUCGCAUCGAUGAAGAACGCAGCGAAAUGCGAUAAGUAAUGUGAAUUGCAGAAUUCAGUGAAUCAUCGAAUCUUUGAACGCACCUUGCGCCCCUUGGUAUUCCGAGGGGCAUGCCUGUUUGAGUGUCAUUAAAUUCUCAAACUCACUUUGGUUUUUUCCAAUUGUGAUGUUUGGAUUGUUGGGGGCUGCUGGCCUUGACAGGUCGGCUCCUCUUAAAUGCAUUAGCAGGACUUCUCAUUGCCUCUGCGCAUGAUGUGAUAAUUAUCACUCAUCAAUAGCACGCAUGAAUAGAGUCCAGCUCUCUAAUCGUCCGCAAGGACAAUUUGACAAUUUGACCUC
Molecule: ribosomal RNA, 614 nt
Filed under: Pleurotus ostreatus (oyster mushroom)
Lineage: Eukaryota; Fungi; Basidiomycota; Agaricomycetes; Agaricales; Pleurotaceae
Description: eukaryotic LSU rRNA
Rfam family: 5.8S ribosomal RNA (bases 250-403)
Source: RNAcentral